This 503-nucleotide ribosomal RNA is filed under the name uncultured bacterium. RNAcentral's name for it is "bacterial SSU rRNA". It matches the Rfam family "Bacterial small subunit ribosomal RNA", at positions 28 to 526 of the family's 1533-position model. The record is from RNAcentral.
GAUUAACGCUAGCGGAAGGCAUAAUACAUGCAAGUCGAACGGGAUAGAGCUUAGCAAUAGGUUCUUGAGAGUGGCGCACGGGUGCGUAACACGUAUGCAACCUGCCUUUAACUGGGGAAUAGCCUCUCGAAAGAGAGAUUAAUACUCCAUAACAUAGUUGAUAAGCAUUUAUUGGCUAUUAAAGAUUUAUCGGUUAAAGAUGGGCAUGCGGCUGAUUAGGUAGUUGGUGAGGUAAUGGCUCACCAAGCCGACGAUCAGUAGGGGGUCUGAGAGGAUGUCCCCCCACACUGGUACUGAGACACGGACCAGACUCCUACGGGAGGCAGCAGUAGGGAAUAUUGGACAAUGGGGGCAACCCUGAUCCAGCCAUUCCGCGUGCAGGAAUAAGGCCCUAUGGGUCGUAAACUGCUUUUGUAUGGGAAAAAAUCACCUUACGUGUAAGGUGUUGAUGGUACCAUGAGAAUAAGGAUCGGCUAACUUCGUGCCAGCCGCCGCGGUAACAC